RNAcentral lists this ribosomal RNA (245 nucleotides) under uncultured bacterium. RNAcentral describes it as "partial 16S ribosomal RNA". It matches the Rfam family "Bacterial small subunit ribosomal RNA", at positions 107 to 353 of the family's 1533-position model. The record is from RNAcentral.
UGAGUAAUGUCUGGGAAACUGCCUGAUGGAGGGGGAUAACUACUGGAAACGGUAGCUAAUACCGCAUAACGUCGCAAGACCAAAGAGGGGGACCUUCGGGCCUCUUGCCAUCGGAUGUGCCCAGAUGGGAUUAGCUAGUAGGUGGGGUAACGGCUCACCUAGGCGACGAUCCCUAGCUGGUCUGAGAGGAUGACCAGCCACACUGGAACUGAGACACGGUCCAGACUCCUACGGGAGGCAGCAUG